UCAACAAAAUACCACUAAACACCCAAAACCCUUUACCCCCAUUAAGUUUCUCUAUAAACUAUAGAGAUAAUUAUGUUAAAACUAGUAAUAAGAAGAAGACCUUCUCUUAAAUGCAACUGUAGGUCAGAAAGGACAAACCACUGACAAUUACAACGUAUGUGAAACUAAAGUAGCAACUCUUCAAGAAAACCCUAUUUUACUUAACGUUAACCUAACACCAGAGCAUUCCAAGAAAGAUUAAAAGAAAAAGAAGGAACUCGGCAAACACACUAACCUCGCCUGUUUACCAAAAACAUCGCCUCUUGGCCCCCAUAAGAGGUCCAGCCUGCCCAGUGACUUAGUUCAACGGCCGCGGUAUCCUAACCGUGCGAAGGUAGCGUAAUCACUUGUUCUUUAAAUGAGGACUAGUAUGAAUGGCACCACGAAGGUUAAGCUGUCUCCUCUUUCUAAUCAAUGAAACUAAUCCCCCCGUGAAGAAGCGGGGAUAAAUAUAUAAGACGAGAAGACCCUAUGGAGCUUUAAACUAUAUAGCACUAGCCCUACACUUUCAAGCUCCAGAGAAAUAAAAAUUACCCCGGCUACCAUGACUAUCAGUUUUAGGUUGGGGUGACCGCGGAGUAAAAACCAACCUCCACAUUGAAUGACAAUUACCCUGAGCAAAAAACCACAGCUUUAAGCACCAAUAAAUUGACAUUAAUUGACCCAAUAUUUUGAUCAACGAACCAAGUUACCCUAGGGAUAACAGCGCAAUCCAUUUCAAGAGCUCCUAUCGACAAGUGGGUUUACGACCUCGAUGUUGGAUCAGGGUAUCCCAGUGGUGCAGCCGCUACUAAAGGUUCGUUUGUUCAACGAUUAAAACCCUACGUGAUCU
Molecule: ribosomal RNA, 871 nt
Filed under: Dendropsophus oliveirai
Lineage: Eukaryota; Metazoa; Chordata; Amphibia; Anura; Hylidae
Description: partial 16S ribosomal RNA
Rfam family: Bacterial large subunit ribosomal RNA
Source: RNAcentral